Molecule: non-coding RNA, 1048 nt
Organism: Ciona intestinalis (vase tunicate)
Lineage: Eukaryota; Metazoa; Chordata; Ascidiacea; Phlebobranchia; Cionidae
Source: RefSeq, a predicted model, not a curated record
UAAAUAUAAUAUAUACUUUUUCAUGGAGAUCAUAUAAGUUUAAUGUAUUUCCUAGAGACCUAGACCUUUAGUAAAUCUGGUGAUAUUAAUGUAUUACCCUGUCAAUAUUCAACUCUCUGGUUUUAUGGUGGUCAAUUCCGUGGUCAUUUCAAAUCCUUAGUUCUAAAGAUACUAAAUUUCCCGUUGGUUUCAGCAGUACAUGUUGGUGCACACUGCAUUUUUCUGGCUAGUAAUUUAAAGCAGCGUGUGCUGUACGUGUAUGACCCAAUGGGUCAGGAUUCAAGCUAUCAUAGAAAACAGUUGAAAAACUGGAAGUGAGCAUUACAUUUAUACCCAACAUAACGGGAAUACAAUGUUUUUUGUUUUAGAGGUUUCUGGCGACAUCAUUUACCCUCUUCAUCUCAAAAGUGGAGGGUUGUAUCUUCACCUUAUGAGAAUCAGGAAGAUGGCAACAACUGUGGAAUUCUUGUGUUAAAGGUAUCUUAAGAUUAAACCCUUCAAUGCAGUUUAUUAAAAAAGAUUAGCCAUUGUUCAUUUAUUUAAAACUGUAUUGCAGCAAAUAGGUAUUUGUAUCUUAAGUGGAUUGUUUUUGAUACUAAAAAAUGUAUUUGGUUUGCAGAAUUUUAUAUAAAAAAAUGAGUCCUUCUGUGACAGAAACACUGUGUCAUUCAGCCACACCACAAAGGCCUGCAUGCUGUAUAGAGCUGAAUUUGGCAAUUUGUUGUUACAAGUUACAGGCAAGAGUUCAUUAUUCGUUUAUGUAUCAGUCGUAUAAGUGUAUCGGUUAUUUUUAUAUCUUAAAUACUUUUGUUAAAAACAUCCACAUUUAAAGUUGUAGUAAUAAUUACUUUAUUUUUUAUUCUAUUGUUUAUCAGAUACUUCAGAUUUGUUGAAUUUUUGUGUUGUCCGCCACUGCAGAGAAGCUUGAAAAAACACAAGUUGGGUAGCCUGCGAUGGUUGUGGAAGGUGGACUCAUGAAGAGUGCAGCAAAGCAAAAAUAUGUGCCAAUAAGCCCUAUUUUUGCAUGAGUGAAUAAAUAUUAAACGUU